This is a long non-coding RNA of Brienomyrus brachyistius, 594 nucleotides long. RefSeq lists it as uncharacterized. The transcript has 3 exons. The record is from RefSeq and is a predicted model, not a curated record. NCBI's taxonomy places the organism in Eukaryota, Metazoa, Chordata, Actinopteri, Osteoglossiformes, Mormyridae.
AAUCUGUACCUAGUCGUUUGGUGUGACAGAACAAUGGGGGCUUCAUGGCCUGCAAUCUGCAGCUUAUUGUUCGUUCCUCAGAAGCUCGCGGAGGAAGAGCCACAGUAAUGACACUGGAAAGAGACUCGACGGGAAGGCAGGGCUCCGCUGGAGAGCAAUUUGAGAUCUUUGUCACCAGGGAAAGCUGUUGACAUGUCAUGGAUUGGUGACAGGCAGAGCCCUGGACCUCCUCGACCCUGCACAGGAGAAGCGGGCAUGAAAAACAGACGGGUGCAUGGAUGGAUGGAUGAUAGAUCUCAUUUGUUUUGUGCAAAUGGUCUAGCACGUUUUUUUUGCUAAGUUUGAAUGACAGGGUUUAUUUCAGGUCUUGUUCCACAGACCAGUCAGAGUGGUGCUACCUUACAUGAGAUGUCAGAGACUUUAUGGGUAAUCCUGUGCACCUGCCACCCCACGUACCCUGUCGGUGAUGCCCUCACCUUCCCUGGCCAACUCGGCCACCACCAGGGUCACCUGUGAUGUGAGGAGGCUCUUCUUACUCAAGGUCUGCGCCAGUGAUGGAAGAAUCCCACUGGCAGCUAUCUCCUCUGGGGCUCC